GACGAACGCUGGCGGCGUGCUUAACACAUGCAAGUCGAACGGACAGACAGAGAGCUUGCUCUCUUGAAGUUAGUGGCGAACGGGUGAGUAACGCGUAAUCAACCUGCCCUUCAGAGGGGGAUAACAACGGGAAACCGUUGCUAAUACCGCGUACGAUUCAUGAACGGCAUCGUUUAUGAAUGAAAGGUGGCCUCUAUGUAUAAGCUAUCGCUGAAGGAGGGGAUUGCGUCUGAUUAGCUAGUUGGGGGGGUAACGGCCCACCAAGGCAAUGAUCAGUAGCCGGUCUGAGAGGAUGAACGGCCACAUUGGGACUGAGACACGGCCCAAAGUCCUACGGGAGGCAGCAGUGGGGAAUCUUCCGCAAUGGACGAAAGUCUGACGGAGCAACGCCGCGUGAGUGAUGAAGGUCUUCGGAUUGUAAAGCUCUGUUAAUCGGGACGAAAGAGUUCUGCGUGAAUAAUGCAGAAAAGUGACGGUACCGGAAUAGAAAGCCACGGCUAUCUACGUGCCAGCAGCCGCCGCCG
Molecule: ribosomal RNA, 524 nt
Filed under: uncultured bacterium
Lineage: Bacteria
Description: partial 16S ribosomal RNA
Rfam family: Bacterial small subunit ribosomal RNA
Source: RNAcentral